Molecule: ribosomal RNA, 254 nt
Filed under: uncultured bacterium
Lineage: Bacteria
Description: partial 16S ribosomal RNA
Rfam family: Bacterial small subunit ribosomal RNA
Source: RNAcentral
UACGGAGGAGGCAAGCGUUAUCCGGAAUUAUUGGGCGUAAAGAGCUCGUAGGCGGUGUGUCGCGUCGGCCGUGAAAACCUGCAGCUUAACUGUGGGCUUGCGGUCGAUACGGGCAUCACUGGAGUUCGGCAGGGGAGACUGGAAUUCCUGGUGUAGCGGUGAAAUGCGCAGAUAUCAGGAGGAACACCGGUGGCGAAGGCGGGUCUCUGGGCCGAUACUGACGCUGAGGAGCGAAAGCGUGGGGAGCGAACAGG